RNAcentral lists this ribosomal RNA (464 nucleotides) under uncultured Klebsiella sp. RNAcentral's name for it is "bacterial SSU rRNA". It matches the Rfam family "Bacterial small subunit ribosomal RNA", at positions 339 to 795 of the family's 1533-position model. The record is from RNAcentral. Lineage: Bacteria; Pseudomonadati; Pseudomonadota; Gammaproteobacteria; Enterobacterales; Enterobacteriaceae.
CUACGGGUGGCUGCAGUGGGGAAUAUUGCACAAUGGGCGCAAGCCUGAUGCAGCCAUGCCGCGUGUGUGAAGUAGGCCUUCGGGUUGUAAAGCACUUUCAGCGGGGAGGAAGGCGUUAAGGUUAAUAACCUUGUCGAUUGACGUUACCCGCAGAAGAAGCACCGGCUAACUCCGUGCCAGCAGCCGCGGUAAUACGGAGGGUGCAAGCGUUAAUCGGAAUUACUGGGCGUAAAGCGCACGCAGGCGGUCUGUCAAGUCGGAUGUGAAAUCCCCGGGCUCAACCUGGGAACUGCAUUCGAAACUGGCAGGCGAGAGUCUUGUAGAGGGGGGUAGAAGUCCAGGUGUAGCGGUGAAAUGCGUAGAGAUCUGGAGGAAUACCGGUGGCGAAGGCGGCCCCCUGGACAAAGACUGACGCGCAGGUGCGAAAGCGUGGGGAGCAAACAGGAUUAGAUACCCGUGUAGGC